UCCCGCAACGAGCGCAACCCUUAUCAUUAGUUGCUACCAUUAAGUUGAGCACUCUACUGAGACUGCCCGGGUUAACCGGGAGGAAGGUGGGGAUGACGUCAAAUCAUCAUGCCCCUUAUGUCUAGGGCUACACACGUGCUACAAUGGUGAGUACAAAGAGAUGCAAGACCGCAAGGUGGAGCCAAACUCAAAAACUCAUCCCAGUUCGGAUUGUAGGCUGCAACUCGCUUACAUGAAGCCGGAGUUGCUAGUAAUCGCGAAUCAGCAUGUCGCCGUGAAUACGUUCCCGGGCCUUGUACACACCGCCCGUCACACCAUGAGAGUUGGUAACACCCGAAGUCCGUGAGGCAACCGUAAGGAGCCAGCGGCCGAAGGUGGGAUUGAUGAUUGGGGUGAAGUCGUAACAAGGUA
RNAcentral lists this ribosomal RNA (411 nucleotides) under uncultured bacterium. RNAcentral's name for it is "bacterial SSU rRNA". It matches the Rfam family "Bacterial small subunit ribosomal RNA", at positions 1085 to 1498 of the family's 1533-position model. The record is from RNAcentral.